CACGUAGGCGGACUUUUAAGUCAGGUGUGAAAUCCCGGGGCUCAACCUCGGAACUGCAUUUGAAACUGGGAGUCUUGAGACCAGGAGAGGUUAGCGGAAUACCGAGUGUAGAGGUGAAAUUCGUAGAUAUUCGGUGGAACACCAGUGGCGAAGGCGGCUAACUGGACUGGUACUGACGCUGAGGUGCGAAAGUGUGGGGAGCAAACA
RNAcentral lists this ribosomal RNA (207 nucleotides) under uncultured bacterium. RNAcentral describes it as "partial 16S ribosomal RNA". It matches the Rfam family "Bacterial small subunit ribosomal RNA", at positions 568 to 774 of the family's 1533-position model. The record is from RNAcentral.